This 272-nucleotide long non-coding RNA is filed under the name Mytilus galloprovincialis (Mediterranean mussel). The record is from RNAcentral. Lineage: Eukaryota; Metazoa; Mollusca; Bivalvia; Mytilida; Mytilidae.
GGUGAUGUGUUUGUACAUCUUACUUUACUGAACAUUCUUGCUGCUUACAAUUAUUUCUAUCUAUAAUGAACUUGGCCCAGUAAUUUCAGUGGAAAAUGUUAGUAAAAAUUAACAAAUUUUAUGAAAAUUGUUAAAAAUUGACUAUAAAGGACAAUAACUCCUUAGGGGGUCAAUUGACCAUUUUGGUCAUGGUGACUUAUUUUCAGGUCUUACUUUGCUGUACAUUAUUGCUGUUUACAGUUUAUCUCUAUCUAUAAUAAUAUUCAAGAUAA